CUCUUAUCCAGAGCAGGCGGAGGGAUUUGGCCCUAUGAUGCCCAGCAACCGACCGUAAUUCCGUCGCGAGACGGGGCGCGAAAGCAAGACGCGCCAGGGUUUUGACCCUGAAGGCACGGUGCUAAUUCCAACAGAAAGGUUUUUUACCUUUCUGAGAGAUAAGAG
This 165-nucleotide non-coding RNA is filed under the name Bacillus sp. (in: firmicutes). RNAcentral's name for it is "Bacillus sp. SAM-I sequence". It matches the Rfam family "SAM riboswitch aptamer (S box leader)". Rfam says of the family: The SAM riboswitch is found upstream of a number of genes which code for proteins involved in methionine or cysteine biosynthesis in Gram-positive bacteria. RNAcentral also lists the same sequence under 1 other name. Lineage: Bacteria; Bacillati; Bacillota; Bacilli; Caryophanales; Bacillaceae. The record is from RNAcentral.